ACUUGAAUUGAAGAGUUUGAUCAUGGCUCAGAUUGAACGCUGGCGGCAGGCUUAACACAUGCAAGUCGAACGGUAGCAGGAGAAAGCUUGCUUUCUUGCUGACGAGUGGCGGACGGGUGAGUAAUGCUUGGGAAUCUGGCUUAUGGAGGGGGAUAACGACGGGAAACUGUCGCUAAUACCGCGUAUUAUCGGAAGAUGAAAGUGCGGGACUGAGAGGCCGCAUGCCAUAGGAUGAGCCCAAGUGGGAUUAGGUAGUUGGUGGGGUAAAGGCCUACCAAGCCUGCGAUCUCUAGCUGGUCUGAGAGGAUGACCAGCCACACUGGAACUGAGACACGGUCCAGACUCCUACGGGAGGCAGCAGUGGGGAAUAUUGCGCAAUGGGGGGAACCCUGACGCAGCCAUGCCGCGUGAAUGAAGAAGGCCUUCGGGUUGUAAAGUUCUUUCGGUAUUGAGGAAGGUUGAUGUGUUAAUAGUACAUCAAAUUGACGUUAAAUACAGAAGAAGCACC
RNAcentral lists this ribosomal RNA (508 nucleotides) under Haemophilus influenzae. RNAcentral describes it as "bacterial SSU rRNA". It matches the Rfam family "Bacterial small subunit ribosomal RNA", at positions 1 to 494 of the family's 1533-position model. The record is from RNAcentral. Lineage: Bacteria; Pseudomonadati; Pseudomonadota; Gammaproteobacteria; Pasteurellales; Pasteurellaceae.